CUAAUAAUAGCAACAAGAAUGGAAAGCAUGAUCUCUGAAGAAAAUUUGCUCAAGUGUUGUUCUUGUUCACAUAGUUCAGUUCCAGUAUUAUAGAAAGCGCCGCAGACAAAUUCUAGCCUCCUGGCCGAACAUGAAGUAGCUAGUUCAACUAGAGUUAUCCAUCAUUUUAGGCACCACAACAUCUCGAAAUUAAAAAAAAAAAAAAAAAA
This 209-nucleotide long non-coding RNA is filed under the name Hordeum vulgare. Its description in RNAcentral is "long non-coding RNA (HVUL_LNC000246)". The record is from RNAcentral. Lineage: Eukaryota; Viridiplantae; Streptophyta; Magnoliopsida; Poales; Poaceae.